Molecule: ribosomal RNA, 460 nt
Filed under: uncultured bacterium
Lineage: Bacteria
Description: partial 16S ribosomal RNA
Rfam family: Bacterial small subunit ribosomal RNA
Source: RNAcentral
CCUACGGGAGGCUGCAGUGAGGAAUAUUGGUCAAUGGACGAGAGUCUGAACCAGCCAAGUAGCGUGAAGGAUGACUGCCCUAUGGGUUGUAAACUUCUUUUAUAUGGGAAUAAAAUGUUCCACGUGUGGGAUUUUGUAUGUACCAUAUGAAUAAGGAUCGGCUAACUCCGUGCCAGCAGCCGCGGUAAUACGGAGGAUCCGAGCGUUAUCCGGAUUUAUUGGGUUUAAAGGGAGCGUAGGUGGAUUGUUAAGUCAGUUGUGAAAGUUUGCGGCUCAACCGUAAAAUUGCAGUUGAAACUGGCAGUCUUGAGUGCAGUAGAGGUGGGCGGAAUUCGUGGUGUAGCGGUGAAAUGCUUAGAUAUCACGAAGAACUCCGAUUGCGAAGGCAGUUCACUGGACUGCAACUGACACUGAGGCUCGAAAGUGUGGGUAUCAAACAGGAUUAGAUACCCGAGUAGUC